This 1368-nucleotide ribosomal RNA is filed under the name uncultured bacterium. RNAcentral's name for it is "16S ribosomal RNA". It matches the Rfam family "Bacterial small subunit ribosomal RNA", at positions 28 to 1378 of the family's 1533-position model. The record is from RNAcentral.
GAUGAACGCUGGCGGCGUGCCUAAUACAUGCAAGUCGAGCGAACGGACGAGAAGCUUGCUUCUCUGAUGUUAGCGGCGGACGGGUGAGUAACACGUGGAUAACCUACCUAUAAGACUGGGAUAACUUCGGGAAACCGUAGCUAAUACCGGAUAAUAUUUUGAACCGCAUGGUUCAAAAGUGAAAGACGGUCUUGCUGUCACUUAUAGAUGGAUCCGCGCUGCAUUAGCUAGUUGGUAAGGUAACGGCUUACCAAGGCAACGAUGCAUAGCCGACCUGAGAGGGUGAUCGGCCACACUGGAACUGAGACACGGUCCAGACUCCUACGGGAGGCAGCAGUAGGGAAUCUUCCGCAAUGGGCGAAAGCCUGACGGAGCAACGCCGCGUGAGUGAUGAAGGUCUUCGGAUCGUAAAACUCUGUUAUUAGGGAAGAACAUAUGUGUAAGUAACUGUGCACAUCUUGACGGUACCUAAUCAGAAAGCCACGGCUAACUACGUGCCAGCAGCCGCGGUAAUACGUAAGUGGCAAGCGUUAUCCGGAAUUAUUUGGCGUAAAGCGCGCGUAGGCGGUUUUUUAGUCUGAUGUGAAAGCCCACGGCUCAACCGUGGAGGGUCAUUGGAAACUGGAAAACUUGAGUGCAGAAGAGGAAAGUGGAAUUCCAUGUGUAGCGGUGAAAUGCGCAGAGAUAUGGAGGAACACCAGUGGCGAAGGCGACUUUCUGGUCUGUAACUGACGCUGAUGUGCGAAAGCGUGGGGAUCAAACAGGAUUAGAUACCCUGGUAGUCCACGCCGUAAACGAUGAGUGCUAAGUGUUAGGGGGUUUCCGCCCCUUAGUGCUGCAGCUAACGCAUUAAGCACUCCGCCUGGGGAGUACGACCGCAAGGUUGAAACCCAAAGGAAUUGACGGGGACCCGCACAAGCGGUGGAGCAUGUGGUUUAAUUCGAAGCAACGCGAAGAACCUUACCAAAUCUUGACAUCCUUUGACAACUCUAGAGAUAGAGCCUUCCCCUUCGGGGGACAAAGUGACAGGUGGUGCAUGGUUGUCGUCAGCUCGUGUCGUGAGAUGUUGGGUUAAGUCCCGCAACGAGCGCAACCCUUAAGCUUAGUUGCCAUCAUUAAGUUGGGCACUCUAAGUUGACUGCCGGUGACAAACCGGAGGAAGGUGGGGAUGACGUCAAAUCAUCAUGCCCCUUAUGAUUUGGGCUACACACGUGCUACAAUGGACAAUACAAAGGGCAGCGAAACCGCGAGGUCAAGCAAAUCCCAUAAAGUUGUUCUCAGUUCGGAUUGUAGUCUGCAACUCGACUACAUGAAGCUGGAAUCGCUAGUAAUCGUAGAUCAGCAUGCUACGGUGAAUACGUUCCCGGG